Molecule: long non-coding RNA, 731 nt
Organism: Alosa sapidissima (American shad)
Lineage: Eukaryota; Metazoa; Chordata; Actinopteri; Clupeiformes; Clupeidae
Exons: 3
Source: RefSeq, a predicted model, not a curated record
CACCAGUGCGCCAACCAGCACCACCAACACCAGUGCGCCAACCAGCACCACCAGCACCAGUGCACCAACCAGCACCAGUGCGCCAACCAGCACCACCACCCCCAUCAGCAAGUGCAACUACCAUCUGCAGCACCAACAACACAGAUGUUCAUAUAGGACCUUCCACUUCAAUAACCCAGCAUCAAUAUGGUUCAAUCAAGUGGUUUAAUGCUAAAAAGGCCACGAAGGACCUUCUUCUGGCCGUGUUUGGGAGGAGCAUACUUGCCAGCCACUCCUACACUGAAAACACUCCUACACAAAAAACAUUGAAUCACUUAAUCUUUGCGUUCAUACAAACCCUUGUACCAAAAAACCUUGUGCGUCAGGCAUUCUUGAGAUAUCACACUCAAGGUGGGUUUGGCCUUGACAUUUGACGUCAUCAUCGAGUCCAUACAACAGUCCAACAGUCCAAUGCUUUCCGGACUAAAGCAGCUAAACCCCAGCUUAACCCGGUCAAAGUGAGCGACAUUAUAAAUUACAUCACUAAACGGUUUGGGGUCGACCAGGGGGAGGUAAAGAAGGCCAUCUCCGAGAAAUGUACGGAUCAGGAAAAGAUGGAGAAGAGGCGGACACAUUGACUGACACACACUGAUUAUUUGUAACAGUAAUCAUUUUUGUUAUUGUUGUUAUUUCUUUGUUUGUUUGUUUUUUUGUUUAUUUAUUUAUAUUUAAUAAUAAAUAUAAUUACUUCA